UACAGAGGUCCCAAGCGUUGUUCGGAUUCACUGGGCGUAAAGGGUGCGUAGGCGGUCGGGUAAGUCUGAUGUGAAAUCUCACAGCUUAACUGUGAAACUGCAUUGGAUACUAUUCGGCUUGAGAGUUGGAGGGGGGACUGGAAUUCUUGGUGUAGCAGUGAAAUGCGUAGAUAUCAGGAGGAACACCGGUGGCGAAGGCGGGUCUCUGGGCAAUAACUGACGCUGAGGAGCGAAAGCGUGGGGAGCGAACAGG
This 253-nucleotide ribosomal RNA is filed under the name uncultured bacterium. RNAcentral's name for it is "partial 16S ribosomal RNA". It matches the Rfam family "Bacterial small subunit ribosomal RNA", at positions 524 to 776 of the family's 1533-position model. The record is from RNAcentral.